AAAACAUAUAAACAAACAAAUUAGUAACAUAAUGUUAUACACGGACUUAUUCUUGGGUUCACCCCCUAGAGUGAACCUCUAGGUUCACCAACCCAUAGAAUUGUGUUAUUUAAUAUUCGAUAUCUUUUAAAAAGGAACAAAAUAUUGUCAAAUUCUAUUAUAUUUUAAAAAUUAAAAGAUAAAAAGAAAUAAAUAAAAAAUAGUAGUAAUUACAAAAAAAAACGUCAGCAAAACAUUAAACCCUAAUUCCUAAUCCCUAAACCCUAAAUCAUAAAUCCUAAACCCUUGGAUAAACCCAAAACUCUAGGAUAAAUCUUAAACUCUAAAUCAAAAUCACUAAACACUAAAACACUCAAGGGUGGGUUUAGAGUUUUAGGGUUUAGUGUUUUUAUUUAGAGUUUAGGAUUUAUCCAAUGGUUUAGAAUUUACCCAAGGGUUUAAAGUUUAUCCAAGGAUUUAGGGUUUAUCCAAGGGUUUAAGGUUUAGGAUUUAGGGUUUAGGGAUUAGGAUUUAGGGUUUAGUGUUUUGCUGACGACGUUAAAAAUAUUUUUUUAAUUUUUUUUUCUGUAACUACUUUUUUUUUUUACUUUUUUUUUAAGAACAUAAUAUAACUUGACAAUAUUUUGUUUCCUUCUUUUAAAAGAUAUCGAAUUUGAAAUAAUGAAAUCCUAUUGGUUGAUAAACUUAGAGGUUCACCCCCUAAAAUAACUCUUGUCUAUUUUUUUCCCCUGAUCAACAUAGUGAAAAGACCUUUAAAAUUGUUUCUGUAUUAGUAAUAAGGAGAUAUAAUGGUCUCUAUAUUUUCUUUUGUUCACUAUAAUUGUCUCUAUAUUUUAAUCGUUUAAGAAGAGGUAAGCGUAAACGGUAAAUCUGUAAAAGCUCAUCUCCAAUGGUGUACUCUAUUUUUCCCUAUAAAAUAGAGUAACUAUAUAAUAAAAUGGGUUGUUGCUGCAAUGAUACUCUAAAUAUAGCGUAAAUUUAUUAUUUAUUCUAUUAUAAAAUAGAAAAU
RNAcentral lists this long non-coding RNA (1009 nucleotides) under Brassica rapa (field mustard). RNAcentral's name for it is "long non-coding RNA (BRAP_LNC000600)". The record is from RNAcentral. Lineage: Eukaryota; Viridiplantae; Streptophyta; Magnoliopsida; Brassicales; Brassicaceae.